GAAAAAAAAACAGAAGAAAUUUUUAACGAAUGUAAUGAGUUAGUAGAAUAUAUGAAAAAAAAAGAAACGAGGAUAAAAGAAUUUGAUGAACAUUUAAAAAAAAUGGAAAUAAAAUAUAAUGAGGAAAAAGAGAAAAAUGAUAUAUUAACGAAGGAUAAUAUAUCACUAGAUAAUAUAAAUUCUAAGUAUAAAGAAGAUAUUACAAUAUAUAAAAAUAAAAUGGAACAUAUGCAAACAGAGUUAAAAUUGAGAAUGGCGAAAAUAGAGGAGUUAGAAAUGAUACAAAGUAAUUUGAAAAAUGAUAUGCUUUAUUUAAAAUCGGAUACAUAUAAACAUGAAAUAAAUUUAAAAGAGGCACAUGAUGAAUUAAAUCGAAUUAAUGAACUAACAAUGAGAUAUAAAAAAGAGUUGGAAGAAUCGAAUAAAAAUAGUGAAAUUUUAAAAGAACAAAUUUUAAAUAGAGAUUACUUUUUAUAUUAUAUACAUGAAUCUUAUAAAAAGAAAAAUAGUUUUUAUGUAAACUUAAAACAACGACUUCAAGGGUUUAACAAAACAUUUUUAGAGUUAUGUGAAAUGUUUGAAAAAAGCGAAAUAAACAAACUGAAUGAAUUAUAUGAUAAUUUCGAAUUAAAUGAUACGGAUUAUAAAAAAAAUGUUUUAACAUUUAAGUUAAAUGAUAAAAACAGAAAUACACAUGAACCGCUACUACCUACGGAAGAAAUAACAAAUGCUAUGAACGCUAUCACUGAUUUUAGUAUGCAUUAUGAAGAAGAAAAGAACGAAAUGUUAAAUAGAAUUACGGAAUUAGAAAAUAAAUUAAAAUUAAAAAUGAUUGAAACUAAUAAAUUAUGUGAACAAUAUGAAGAUAACAUAAAAUCUCUUUUAUUAGAUCGAGAUGAACGGUUGAGGGAUUGUGUAUAUAUGUCAGACGAUUUAAAAAAGAAAAAUGAUGAAAUUGUGUUAUUAAUGAAAGAGUUAGGUGAUAAAAACAUAGAGUACAAUGAAUUACAAUUUAAAUGUAACUUUUUAGAUAGUGAAGUAAAAAAUUUAGAAUCCACAAAACUAACAUUAAAUGAAAAAUUAAUGGAGUUGGAAAGAAACCAAGAGGAACGUAUUGCUUAUUUUAAGCGGGAGAAUGAAUAUUUAAAAGAAGACACAGUGAACUUCCAAAAUGUACUUCAGCUUAUUGACAACGAAAUGAAUAAAUUGAAAGAAGAAAUAAACGAACUACGAGAAGAAAAAUAUAAUUAUGAAAAUAAAAUUGAUAAAUUAAAAGAAUUGUUAGAAGAAGAAAAACGAAUGAAUGAUAUGUUAAAAG
Molecule: long non-coding RNA, 1318 nt
Filed under: Piliocolobus tephrosceles (Ugandan red Colobus)
Lineage: Eukaryota; Metazoa; Chordata; Mammalia; Primates; Cercopithecidae
Description: lncRNA (ENSPTEG00000009832.1)
Source: RNAcentral